RNAcentral lists this ribosomal RNA (704 nucleotides) under uncultured Alphaproteobacteria bacterium. RNAcentral describes it as "bacterial SSU rRNA". It matches the Rfam family "Bacterial small subunit ribosomal RNA", at positions 26 to 776 of the family's 1533-position model. Lineage: Bacteria; Pseudomonadati; Pseudomonadota; Alphaproteobacteria. The record is from RNAcentral.
AGAACGAACGCUGGCGGCAUGCCUAACACAUGCAAGUCGAACGAAGGCUUCGGCCUUAGUGGCGCACGGGUGCGUAACGCGUGGGAAUCUGCCCUUGGGUUCGGAAUAACAGUUAGAAAUGACUGCUAAUACCGGAUGAUGACGAAAGUCCAAAGAUUUAUCGCCCAGGGAUGAGCCCGCGUAGGAUUAGGUAGUUGGUGGGGUAAAGGCCUACCAAGCCGACGAUCCUUAGCUGGUCUGAGAGGAUGAUCAGCCACACUGGGACUGAGACACGGCCCAGACUCCUACGGGAGGCAGCAGUGGGGAAUAUUGGACAAUGGGCGAAAGCCUGAUCCAGCAAUGCCGCGUGAGUGAUGAAGGCCUUAGGGUCGUAAAGCUCUUUUACCAGGGAUGAUAAUGACAGUACCUGGAGAAUAAGCUCCGGCUAACUCCGUGCCAGCAGCCGCGGUAAUACGGAGGGAGCUAGCGUUGUUCGGAAUUACUGGGCGUAAAGCGCACGUAGGCGGUUAUUCAAGUCAGAGGUGAAAGCCCGGGGCUCAACCCCGGAACUGCCUUUGAAACUAGAUGACUGGAAUCUUGGAGAGGUCAGUGGAAUUCCGAGUGUAGAGGUGAAAUUCGUAGAUAUUCGGAAGAACACCAGUGGCGAAGGCGACUGACUGGACAAGUAUUGACGCUGAGGUGCGAAAGCGUGGGGAGCAAACAGG